RNAcentral lists this ribosomal RNA (1382 nucleotides) under uncultured bacterium. RNAcentral's name for it is "bacterial SSU rRNA". It matches the Rfam family "Bacterial small subunit ribosomal RNA", at positions 18 to 1395 of the family's 1533-position model. The record is from RNAcentral.
CCUGGCUCCGGAUGAACGCUAGCUACAGGCUUAACACAUGCAAGUCGAGGGGCAGCAUGGUCUUAGCUUGCUAAGACUGAUGGCGACCGGCGCACGGGUGAGUAACACGUAUCCAACCUGCCGUCUACUCUUGGACAGCCUUCUGAAAGGAAGAUUAAUACAAGAUGGCAUCAUGAGUCCGCAUGUUCACAUGAUUAAAGGUAUUCCGGUAGACGAUGGGGAUGCGUUCCAUUAGAUAGUAGGCGGGGUAACGGCCCACCUAGUCUUCGAUGGAUAGGGGUUCUGAGAGGAAGGUCCCCCACAUUGGAACUGAGACACGGUCCAAACUCCUACGGGAGGCAGCAGUGAGGAAUAUUGGUCAAUGGGCGAGAGCCUGAACCAGCCAAGUAGCGUGAAGGAUGACUGCCCUAUGGGUUGUAAACUUCUUUUAUAAAGGAAUAAAGUCGGGUAUGGAUACCCGUUUGCAUGUACUUUAUGAAUAAGGAUCGGCUAACUCCGUGCCAGCAGCCGCGGUAAUACGGAGGAUCCGAGCGUUAUCCGGAUUUAUUGGGUUUAAAGGGAGCGUAGAUGGAUGUUUAAGUCAGUUGUGAAAGUUUGCGGCUCAACCGUAAAAUUGCAGUUGAUACUGGAUAUCUUGAGUGCAGUUGAGGCAGGCGGAAUUCGUGGUGUAGCGGUGAAAUGCUUAGAUAUCACGAAGAACUCCGAUUGCGAAGGCAGCCUGCUAAGCUGCAACUGACAUUGAGGCUCGAAAGUGUGGGUAUCAAACAGGAUUAGAUACCCUGGUAGUCCACACGGUAAACGAUGAAUACUCGCUGUUUGCGAUAUACUGCAAGCGGCCAAGCGAAAGCGUUAAGUAUUCCACCUGGGGAGUACGCCGGCAACGGUGAAACUCAAAGGAAUUGACGGGGGCCCGCACAAGCGGAGGAACAUGUGGUUUAAUUCGAUGAUACGCGAGGAACCUUACCCGGGCUUAAAUUGCAGAUGAAUUACGGUGAAAGCCGUAAGCCGCAAGGCAUCUGUGAAGGUGCUGCAUGGUUGUCGUCAGCUCGUGCCGUGAGGUGUCGGCUUAAGUGCCAUAACGAGCGCAACCCUUGUUGUCAGUUACUAACAGGUUCCGCUGAGGACUCUGACAAGACUGCCAUCGUAAGAUGUGAGGAAGGUGGGGAUGACGUCAAAUCAGCACGGCCCUUACGUCCGGGGCUACACACGUGUUACAAUGGGGGGUACAGAGGGCCGCUACCACGCGAGUGGAUGCCAAUCCCCAAAACCUCUCUCAGUUCGGACUGGAGUCUGCAACCCGACUCCACGAAGCUGGAUUCGCUAGUAAUCGCGCAUCAGCCACGGCGCGGUGAAUACGUUCCCGGGCCUUGUACACACCGCCC